UACGUAGGGGGCAAGCGUUGUCCGGAUUUAUUGGGCGUAAAGAGCGUGUAGGCGGCCAGACAGGUCCGUUGUGAAAACUCGAGGCUCAACCUCGAGAUGUCGAUGGAAACCGUCUGGCUAGAGUCCGGAAGAGGAGUGUGGAAUUCCUGGUGUAGCGGUGAAAUGCGUAGAUAUCAGGAAGAACACCGGUGGCGAAAGCGCUCUGCUAGGCCGCAACUGACACUGAGGGACGAAAGCUAGGGGAGCGAAUGGG
RNAcentral lists this ribosomal RNA (253 nucleotides) under uncultured bacterium. Its description in RNAcentral is "partial 16S ribosomal RNA". It matches the Rfam family "Bacterial small subunit ribosomal RNA", at positions 524 to 776 of the family's 1533-position model. The record is from RNAcentral.